This 422-nucleotide ribosomal RNA is filed under the name uncultured bacterium. RNAcentral describes it as "bacterial SSU rRNA". It matches the Rfam family "Bacterial small subunit ribosomal RNA", at positions 355 to 774 of the family's 1533-position model. The record is from RNAcentral.
UGAGGAAUAUUGGGCAAUGCCCGCAAGGGUGACCCAGCAACGCCGCGUGGAGGAUGAAUGUCGUAAGAUUGUAAACUCCUGUUAGAGGGGAAGAAUAGUACCGGUUGGACCGGUAUAUGACUGUACCCUCAGAGAAAGCCCCGGCUAACUACGUGCCAGCAGCCGCGGUAAUACGGAGGGUGCGAGCGUUAUCCGGAUUUACUGGGUUUAAAGGGUGCGUAGGUGGGCUUAUAAGUCAGUGGUGAAAUCUCCGAGCUUAACUUGGAAACUGCCGUUGAUACUAUAGGUCUUGAAUUAUCUGGAGGUAAGCGGAAUAUGUCAUGUAGCGGUGAAAUGCUUAGAUAUGACAUAGAACACCAAUUGCGAAGGCAGCUUACUACAUAUAAAUUGACGCUGAGGCACGAAAGCGUGGGGAUCAAACA